RNAcentral lists this ribosomal RNA (323 nucleotides) under uncultured eukaryote. RNAcentral describes it as "partial 18S ribosomal RNA". It matches the Rfam family "Eukaryotic small subunit ribosomal RNA", at positions 1470 to 1796 of the family's 1831-position model. The record is from RNAcentral.
CCCUUAGAUGUUCUGGGCCGCACGCGCGCUACACUGACGAUGGCAACGAGUUUUUCCUUCGCCGAAAGGUGUGGGUAAUCUUUUGAAACAUCGUCGUGCUGGGGAUAGAUCAUUGCAAUUUUUGAUCUUGAACGAGGAAUUCCUAGUAAGCGCGAGUCAUCAGCUCGCGUUGAUUACGUCCCUGCCCUUUGUACACACCGCCCGUCGCUCCUACCGAUUGAAUGCUCAGGUGAGCCAUUCGGACUUUCAUCAUGCUGGUUUCCAGUUUUGAUGAAGGAAAGUCUUGCGAACCUUAUCAUUUAGAGGAAGGAGAAGUCGUAACA